Molecule: ribosomal RNA, 463 nt
Filed under: uncultured bacterium
Lineage: Bacteria
Description: bacterial SSU rRNA
Rfam family: Bacterial small subunit ribosomal RNA
Source: RNAcentral
AACGCUGGCGGCGUGCUUAACACAUGCAAGUCGAACGAUGAUGCUGGAGCUUGCUCCAGUUGAUUAGUGGCGAACGGGUGAGUAACACGUGAGCAAUCUGCCCUUGACUCUGGGAUAACUGCGGGAAACUGUAGCUAAUACCGGAUACUUUCACCGGAAGGCAUCUUCUGGUGAUGAAAGAAUUUCGGUCAGGGAUGAGCUUGCGGCUGAUUAGCUUGUUGGUGAGGUAAUGGCUCACCAAGGCGACGAUCAGUAUCUGGUUUGAGAGGAUGAUCAGACACACUGGAACUGAGACACGGUCCAGACUCCUACGGGAGGCAGCAGUGGGGAAUUUUCCGCAAUGGGCGAAAGCCUGACGGAGCAAUCUCGCGUGGGGGAUGACGGCCUAUGGGUUGUAAACCUCUUUUUUCAGGGAGGAACAAAAUGACGUGUACCUGAAGAAUAAGCAUCGGCUAACUCCGUG